Molecule: small RNA, 1484 nt
Filed under: Rattus norvegicus (Norway rat)
Lineage: Eukaryota; Metazoa; Chordata; Mammalia; Rodentia; Muridae
Description: uncharacterized LOC108350291
Source: RNAcentral
AGUUGCUGGAAUCAUAAAAUCUAUUCCCAUUAGACUAAAUUGGGAUAGUAAACAGCAGAAGGCUGAGGAAGGUAGAUAAUUGUAUUACUUAGGAUUCAUGGUUGUGAGUAUAAAUGGAAAGGAUUUUAUCAAAGGUUCUUAUAGACCUAGUAACCAAAUCCCAGAAAGGUAUCCAUGGGAUCCUGGCCUAAACUUCAAGAUCCAGGGUCUUUAACGACAUCCUUGGAACAUCUACGUUCUCGUCCUCCUCCAUGUUGGUUUAGGUCUCAAGCCCAGUUUCUUGGUUAUUUACUCUCUUUUACAAGUUGGGAGCCAUCUUCACGCCUAGCAUCCUAGAGGAGAAGGCUCAAUAUCUCUCCCACGUUUGGUAUGAAAAGUCCCAGGGACAAACUUGGGUUGGAUCACUUAGGUCCCGGCCUGGCCGCUGGCUCAUCCCUGUGGUCACGUCAAGCACGUGAGUGUUCUCAUAAGAACCCCCUGCCUGUGAAGAGUGAUUGGUCUGCAGAGCGAUUGGUCUGAAGAGUGAUUGGUCUGAAGAGUGAUUGGUCUGAAGAGUGAUUGGUCUAAAGAGUGAUUGAUUGGUCUGAAGAGUGAUUGAUUGGUCUGAAGAGUGAUUGAUUGGUCUGAAGAGUGAUUGGUCUGAAGAGUGAUUGGUCUGAAGAGUGAUUGGUCUGAAGAGUGAUUGGUCGGGGAGCGAGGACUGAGAGGCGGUUGAAAGCAAGAGUAGGGACAGGGGCAAAUAAUUCUCGAGUCCUCUUAAGAGAAACACAUUGCAGUUAACUGUGACAAAAUAUGAGGAAGAGUUUCCAGGGUUCCACUGCAGCUUGAGCCUAGUUUCUGGCUAAGUAUUUUUUAUCUAAAAAGCACACUCAGUGUAUCUGAAUCCCUGCCGAUUUCAAAUUUGACCAUCUUUCUUCAUGGACUCCCCACCGGUGGAAUCAAGCAACACAGAUCAAAAAUACAAAAGUUUGAGUUGCAUCUGGGCCCAGCACGCACAGCCUCCUUCCUCGUGUUGUUAAUACUCAGACAACGCAUACGACAACUGGUUACACGGAAUCCCAUUGUACUAGGAAACUUUUACUGGAACUGACCUAAAAUACGUAUAUGGCUCACAACCCUGGGAGAGAUCUUUAGUACAAACUGUCACUCUGUUGGUGUGAGCGCUCACAAGGCUACAUCAGACAUGCUAGUCUGCUUUCAAAGCUCGCUUGAUCUGAUGUGAGAGUCACUAAAGCACAGGGAAAUGCUGACCUGUGCAGUCUGACCACCAAUGGCCGCUAUUUCUGGGCUGAGCUAGAAACUGCAGAUCUUGAGGCUGAGAUUGGUGGACAUGAUGAAGGACGUGUACACGGAAGCUGGUCUCCCCAUGGGAGAGUCCGCUGUACAGCAGAGUGCUAGGUUCAAGCAAGCUCGAAUGCCCUGUGCAAAAAGAGACAAUCUGAGAAUCAACGAGAUGAAUGUAAAUAAAUAAAUAUUAAAAAUAA